RNAcentral lists this ribosomal RNA (137 nucleotides) under Astragalus eremophilus subsp. eremophilus. Its description in RNAcentral is "partial 18S ribosomal RNA". It matches the Rfam family "Eukaryotic small subunit ribosomal RNA", at positions 1698 to 1831 of the family's 1831-position model. The record is from RNAcentral. Lineage: Eukaryota; Viridiplantae; Streptophyta; Magnoliopsida; Fabales; Fabaceae.
CCGGGAAGGUUCGGAUUGCGGCGACGUGGGCGGUCCGCUGCCCGCGACGUUGUGAGAAGUCCACUGAACCUUAUCAUUUAGAGGAAGGAGAAGUCGUAACAAGGUUUCCGUAGGUGAACCUGCGGAAGGAUCAUUGU